GGAUUGGUAGCUCAGAAGGUAGGGCGGUGGACUGAAAAUCCACGACAUUAGCGGAAGUUCGAUUCUUCCCCUUUCCA
This 77-nucleotide transfer RNA is filed under the name Caudoviricetes sp. Its description in RNAcentral is "tRNA-Phe". It matches the Rfam family "tRNA". From Rfam's summary of the family: Transfer RNA (tRNA) molecules are approximately 80 nucleotides in length. Lineage: Duplodnaviria; Heunggongvirae; Uroviricota; Caudoviricetes. The record is from RNAcentral.